Molecule: long non-coding RNA, 1574 nt
Organism: Syngnathus acus (greater pipefish)
Lineage: Eukaryota; Metazoa; Chordata; Actinopteri; Syngnathiformes; Syngnathidae
Exons: 2
Source: RefSeq, a predicted model, not a curated record
AUUGCAUGAAAAUGAUUCUUCAGUUGGGUGAGAAGCGAGCGGCACUUGAGUAAGGCCGAUUAUGUCAACAAGACACCCCACACCGACUAUCGGAUUGCGGUACACUUAUUUACUCUGCAUUGGGCGCAAGCCACACAUGGAAGUCGUGCUAAGAAGAUAUAACCUUUGAUCCGGCCAUUGGACUUCGGCGAGGUAGCGAGAAAGCAGAUCUCCGCCAUGCUGAACACUGAAGAUCCCCUGAAGAUGAUCCCCCGCGAGCUCGGUGCCAGAAGGCCUAACACAUCCAGAUCCCUCAACUCCGGCUGCGCUGGGACAGAAAGGAAACCGGAUCCAACCGAGUCACGACCAUUAUCACCAGCGGCUUCGUGAUAAACCCGAGAGCCGGGCGAAUAUUUUCCCCAUUUAACUCUGCAGUAAUCCCCCCUAGGCAUGAAGGUAUCAAAGUUCUUCUUCGAAUUUCUGUUUGAAAAACUCCAAAGAAACACGUUUCCUAGCCGAGGGCUAGCAGCGAUAUCCCAGAAUAUCUACUCCCUCCGCACCCGAGCAAAAGGAAUUCUCAGCACCCCUCAGUCCAACCCCCUCCACCUUCCUCGUAGUGCUGGCGCUACAGCAGAUGGCCUUGUCACUCCAAACCAUGUGUCCCCUUCAGGAAUUCUGCUCUGUCCUCAGCAAGCCGCCCCAAGGUCACCAGAGCUCCUAGUGAUCCACCUUCAUACUAAAUACCAUUUUCAUUUAACAUCACUUGCCUCGAGAUCGCAAACACAAUACAAUAUACCCCCGCCCCCCCCCCGGCUUAGACAAUAGAGCAAGGUGCAAGUUGUCUUUCCCAGGUUUCCCAGAGCUCGCACGUGAGACGGCGAUGUCCGAAGUGGAGAAUCGUGGGGCCUUAUGGAGGCGCAUAUAUGCUACCAGAAAACACUAGCGCUCAUCUCAGCGUCAGCAACUGACGCUUAGAAUAGUUCACAAAGUCUGUAAGCGGGCUUGGGUUUCAGCCGCACAGCCUCCUGCAGCACAUCAAUGGGAUCAAAGUAGGAGCGUUGACUCCUUCGAGUUCCUUUUAGCUCACCGAGGAGACAAACGCCUCUCGCUAUCUUCAUGCUCGUGCGGCCAUUAAAAGGGGGUGAUUGUCGUUUAGAGAAUAACUUUUUUUUGUUAAUCUGGCUUGACGAUAGUGAUGAUCCUUGCGAUCCACCUCAAGGAUUUUGGAGAAACAACCAAUCAGAGACAGGCAUAUUUUGGGCAAAAGUGGCAUUAAGUUGCUACAGCAAUAUAUUUGACCAAAAACACGGUACAUUAAAAAAAAUACUUUUGAAAGACAAACACGUUUGAAAAGUAAAAAAAGAAAACAUCACCUGUUAUAUGGAUGCACAUCAAUAUUUGACAAUUAAAGAGCCGAUCAAACAUUUCUUUACGCAAUAUACUGUUCAUACGUGAAACAUUUAUACUUGACGCUAAGUGCAUGCGUGUGUGUGUGUGUGUGUGUGUGUGUGUGAGAGAAUAAACAUACCAGUGUACUCAUCACUGCUUACGCCGUCGCCAGAUAUUCCAUGACUCCUCCAAAAAGCUAGUAAUAU